Molecule: small nucleolar RNA, 133 nt
Organism: Capsella rubella
Lineage: Eukaryota; Viridiplantae; Streptophyta; Magnoliopsida; Brassicales; Brassicaceae
Rfam family: Small nucleolar RNA Z247
About the family: Z247 is a member of the C/D class of snoRNA which contain the C (UGAUGA) and D (CUGA) box motifs.
Source: Rfam
GCAAUGCAACAUGACGAUCAGAUUGAGGCUAUCCUUGCUGGUUUGUCUGAUGAUUACAAGCCUAUUAAGGAUCAGAUUGCUGGACGUGAGACAUCACCUCGUCUUCCUGAAGUGUAUGAGAAGCUGCUGAAUC